RNAcentral lists this ribosomal RNA (119 nucleotides) under Pteropus alecto (black flying fox). The record is from RNAcentral. Lineage: Eukaryota; Metazoa; Chordata; Mammalia; Chiroptera; Pteropodidae.
GUCUACGGCCUCGCCACCCUGAACCAGCCCGAUCCCGUCUGAUCUCGGAAGCUAAGCAGGGUCGGGCCUGGUUAGUACUUGGAUGGGAGACCGCCUGGGAAGAUCGGGUGCUGUAGGCA